This 270-nucleotide ribosomal RNA is filed under the name uncultured bacterium. RNAcentral describes it as "partial 16S ribosomal RNA". It matches the Rfam family "Bacterial small subunit ribosomal RNA", at positions 524 to 794 of the family's 1533-position model. The record is from RNAcentral.
UACGUAGGUGGCAAGCGUUGUCCGGAAUUACUGGGCGUAAAGAGCGCGUAGGCGGGGAUUUAAGUCAGGAGUGAAACUGGCGGCUCAACUGCCAGCCUGCUCUUGAAACUGGAUCUCUUGAGGGUAUGAGAGGAAAGCGGAAUUCCCAGUGUAGCGGUGAAAUGCGUAGAUAUUGGGAGGAACACCAGUGGCGAAGGCGGCUUUCUGGCAUACAACUGACGCUGAGGCGCGAAAGCGUGGGGAGCAAACGGGAUUAGAUACCCCUGUAGU